RNAcentral lists this ribosomal RNA (492 nucleotides) under uncultured bacterium. Its description in RNAcentral is "partial 16S ribosomal RNA". It matches the Rfam family "Bacterial small subunit ribosomal RNA", at positions 29 to 507 of the family's 1533-position model. The record is from RNAcentral.
AGUGAACGCUGGCGGUAGGCCUAACACAUGCAAGUCGAACGGCAGCACAGUAAGAGCUUGCUCUUACGGGUGGCGAGUGGCGGACGGGUGAGGAAUACAUCGGAAUCUACUUUUUCGUGGGGGAUAACGUAGGGAAACUUACGCUAAUACCGCAUACGACCUACGGGUGAAAGCAGGGGAUCUUCGGACCUUGCGCGAUUGAAUGAGCCGAUGUCGGAUUAGCUAGUUGGCGGGGUAAAGGCCCACCAAGGCGACGAUCCGUAGCUGGUCUGAGAGGAUGAUCAGCCACACUGGAACUGAGACACGGUCCAGACUCCUACGGGAGGCAGCAGUGGGGAAUAUUGGACAAUGGGCGCAAGCCUGAUCCAGCCAUACCGCGUGGGUGAAGAAGGCCUUCGGGUUGUAAAGCCCUGUUGUUGGGAAAGAAAAGCAGCAGGAUAAUACCCCGCUGUUCUGACGGUACCCAAAGAAUAAGCACCGGCUAACUUCGUG